UUUGAUAUGGUUAAUGCCAUUGAAAAAAUAUUUAAAAUCUCUUUUCUUCAAGAGGAAUUAUCUAUUACAUCCCAGUUGUCUAUGUAAAUUUUUGUUAGGAUCUGCAUGUGAUCAGAAGAAGACAAAUUGCUCUCAGAGUCUGAUAGUGACCUACCAACGUCUUCUCGAUCCUUGCAUUGACUGACCUCAUAGUCUAAUAGUGACAUAUCAAAGUGUUCUUGUCCUUGCGUUAAG
This 234-nucleotide long non-coding RNA is filed under the name Lathyrus oleraceus (garden pea). Its description in RNAcentral is "Pisum sativum (pea) long non-coding RNA (PSAT_LNC031495)". Lineage: Eukaryota; Viridiplantae; Streptophyta; Magnoliopsida; Fabales; Fabaceae. The record is from RNAcentral.